This 121-nucleotide non-coding RNA is filed under the name Streptomyces sp. The record is from RNAcentral. Lineage: Bacteria; Bacillati; Actinomycetota; Actinomycetes; Kitasatosporales; Streptomycetaceae.
GAACACACAACUUCACCAGGGCGGCAGGGCCCAGGAAGCCGGUGCGAAUCCGGCACGGUCCCGCCACUGUGACUCAGGCUCCGCCUGACAGUCAGGAACUGACCUGUCGCCUUUCUUUCCG